RNAcentral lists this ribosomal RNA (497 nucleotides) under uncultured bacterium. RNAcentral describes it as "partial 16S ribosomal RNA". It matches the Rfam family "Bacterial small subunit ribosomal RNA", at positions 28 to 507 of the family's 1533-position model. The record is from RNAcentral.
GACGAACGCUGGCGGCGUGCCUAAUACAUGCAAGUAGAACGCUGAAGCGAGGAGCUUGCUCUUCUUGGAUGAGUUGCGAACGGGUGAGUAACGCGUAGGUAACCUGCCUUGUAGCGGGGGAUAACUAUUGGAAACGAUAGCUAAUACCGCAUAACAAUGGAUGACACAUGUCAUUUAUUUGAAAGGGGCAAUUGCUCCACUACAAGAUGGACCUGCGUUGUAUUAGCUAGUAGGUGAGGUAAUGGCUCACCUAGGCGACGAUACAUAGCCGACCUGAGAGGGUGGACAGCCACACUGGGAAUGAGACACGGCCCAGACUCCUACGGGAGGCAGCAGUAGGGAAUCUUCGGGAAUGGGGGGAACCCUGACCGAGCAACGCCGCGGGAGUGAAGAAGGGUUUCGGGUCGUAAAGCUCUGUUGUAAGUCAAGAACGGGUGUGAGAGUGGAAAGUUCACACUGUGACGGUAGCUUACCAGAAAGGGACGGCUAACUACGUG